Molecule: ribosomal RNA, 253 nt
Filed under: uncultured bacterium
Lineage: Bacteria
Description: partial 16S ribosomal RNA
Rfam family: Bacterial small subunit ribosomal RNA
Source: RNAcentral
UACGUAGGUGACAAGCGUUGUCCGGAUUUACUGGGCGUAAAGAGCGCGCAGGCGGUCGUUCAAGUCGAGUGUGAAAGCCCCCGGCUCAACUGGGGAGGGUCAUUCGAUACUGUCGGACUCGAAGGCAGGAGAGGGAAGCGGAAUUCCCGGUGUAGUGGUGAAAUGCGUAGAUAUCGGGAGGAACACCAGUGGCGAAGGCGGGCAUCUGGGCCAACACUGACGCUGAGGCGCGAAAGCUAGGGGAGCAAACAGG